AGAGUUGAUCCUGGCUCAGGAUGAACGCUGGCGGCGUGCCUAAUACAUGCAAGUCGAGCGAGAAAUACUUUCAGACGAUUCUUCGGAUGAGUCAGGAAGAUGGAAAGCGGCGAACGGGUGAGUAACGCGUAGGCAACCUGCCCUCAGCAGAGGGAUAGCCAUUGGAAACGAUGAUUAAAACCUCAUAAUGCUGCAGUAACACAUGUUACAGCAGCCAAAGAUUUAUCGGCUGGGGAUGGGCCUGCGUCUGAUUAACUGGUUGGUGAGGUAACGGCUCACCAAGGUAACGAUCAGUAGCCGACCUGAGAGGGUGAUCGGCCACAUUGGAACUGAGACACGGUCCAAACUUCUACGGAAGGCAGCAGUAAGGAAUCUUGCACAAUGGGGGGAAAAACCCCCUGAUGCAGCAACGCCGCGUGAACGAUGAAGGCCUUAGGGUUGUAAAGUUCUGAUCUGGGGGAAGAAGAAAGUGACGGUACCCCAGGAGAAAGCCCCGGCUAAAUACGUGCCAGCCGCCGC
RNAcentral lists this ribosomal RNA (519 nucleotides) under uncultured bacterium. RNAcentral's name for it is "bacterial SSU rRNA". It matches the Rfam family "Bacterial small subunit ribosomal RNA", at positions 8 to 518 of the family's 1533-position model. The record is from RNAcentral.